GCUGGCUAAGGAAGACUGAUAAAUAGUUUAUGUCAUUCAUUGAUUUACUUCAUCAAUCACCCAACAAAAGGCAAGGUAACUACAUAUUAAAUAAUAAAGUUAAACGAAUUACUUCACCAUUUAUACAACAAGGCAAAAUAAGUUAAUUCUAAUACUCUAUUCAAGAGUAAAAAUACUAAUUUCAAUCUCUUAUGUUAAUUUAUUUACUUCAUCAAUGAUCUUCUCU
This 226-nucleotide long non-coding RNA is filed under the name Carica papaya (papaya). Its description in RNAcentral is "long non-coding RNA (CPAP_LNC000971)". The record is from RNAcentral. Lineage: Eukaryota; Viridiplantae; Streptophyta; Magnoliopsida; Brassicales; Caricaceae.